AACAGUCAUCCAUCUUGAUAUUAAGGUGGGGUGUGACUGUGGUAAGUGUAUUAGCCGAAGAUUUCGACAGGAAAUAAGUGCAAUCGUUGUGUUGAUUGUUCUUGUAAUAGCAGUUCAUUCCUCUGAAAUAAUGUGAAUGGUUAUACUUUUCAAAAUACAGUUAUUUCCAAACAUGAAAGAAAUGUGUGGAUGAGAGGGUUACGUUCUCUUUAGAAAUUAUCUGCAAAUACGCAGUCAUUGCGUGUGCCUCAUUAGUACUAAAAAAUUGAUACGGGUUUAUUAGUUACACGCAAGUAAGUUACUCCUGUGUGAACCAGAACACCCAACUGAUGAUACUGGAAAUUGAGUAUCAACAGGAACAGUAGUGUGGCUAACCAGCUGUAUUCCACAAGUCCACACUGGAAUAGGACAUAGUCUACCAAGAGCCAUACAAGAUCAUUUUUGCAGAAUACCAGUUUACAAUCUAUGCGGAGUUCCUUUCUCAGAUUAUUUGUCUGCUGCCAUGGAAUACAACAAUGGAGCAUUCUCCACAGGGGAGGAAAACCGGUAUGAAGAGAACAUGCUGGCUUUGUCCUUUCUUCGCUGUCUGAGACGUUGGCUACUCUUCCAGUUGUCGGCCAACAGUGGGAUGCGGGAAAGUUCAACAACAUGGUGCUGGUGUGCUGACCCGGGGGAGCCCCAGAGGCACACGCCCUGCUUGCCCCGGUCAAGCACAAGACCUCCUGGAAAUACGUGAUACUAAACAAUGAUGUGUGGCUGUCCUGCUGUGACUUGUCUCUCCUGCAGAUAAAUUAGCAAAUUACUGUAUAUAGACAUGUUAUAUUUAUCUUGCUGACAGACUCGUGUCACAGUGACAGUGUUCUGCACCAGGAUGUGGACAGUGUCCCAGGGUCGGAGCAAAUGGCAGGCACUAGUAGAUGAAUAUGUCAGGAAGGAGGUGACCAGGUGCAGAGGAAUGUUCACCAAGCUGCACCUGGUCACCUCCUUCCUGAAGUAUUCUGACCGCCAGACUAAAGUACUACAGCGUGAGAGACAUCUGGGGGGGGCUAUGAGGAGCCCUGAAACUCGGCAUGGGUGAGGCCUCCAGAAAGUGAAACAGUGGCUCUCCCUGUUAAGAAGAUCCACCGAGCACAGGCUCACGACACACACAUCGUGAUGGCUAUGGAGCGGUUCAAAGUGCUGCGACAUGAGAUUCUGCAUUCCUGGGAACUAUCUUGCCCAUGGUGUGUACCCUUUACAGUAUGGCGGUAAGAGAAUAUUUUUUAAUUAUGCAGUUAAACUUUUGUUCCAUGGAAUUACAGAAAAAUUAUUGGUUAACCGCAGUCGGCCAUCAUUGGCAAUCCUCGGAACAUAUUUUAAGUUCCGCUAAAAUCUGCACUCUGAACCGCUCCACAGCCACCAUGAUGUGUGUUUCGUGAGCCAGUACUUGGUGGAUCUUCUUAGCAGAGAGGCUAUCAGCCAUCGGUGGCCAUCAUCAGAACAACUGCAGUCAGCAUUGGAUACAGCAGUGUAUGUUCAGCCCUGUAAAAUACUCUCAUUUGAUGAUUUAGUGUUGUAGUUCUGUGUAUUUUGAGAUGCAUGGUUUAUUGUAAAUGUAUUCUGUAGGUCUAAAGGCUGUUCCCAUUUUGGAGCAAUGUAUUUCAUAAACAGUAUUUUCUAGGCUAGUCUCUUAAAUGGUGUACCUACAUAUAAACUCUAUUUUUUCCAAAGCUUUUGGAACCAGUUGUGCAGUUCUCCAAUUCAAAUGAUAUGGAUUACUACUUCUUCUGCUUAUUCUUAAAGAAUAGCUACCUGUUUCUGUUAGGCAUGAAUUGGGGUGGGGUGAGAGGUUGGGUGAAAGGUAAACAGUUUGGUGUGUGGGGAGACUGGGUUACCUUAGAUUGAGGCAGAGAUGAUUACAGGAGCGGAAGAAACAAAUUUUCUGGUGGACAAAAACUGCAUGCUAGCUGGAAUUAAAACCUGUCACCUUUGCCUUCUGUGGGCAAAUGCUUUUGCUGACUCAGUUACUCUCAUUCAGGUUUCAUUCAUCAUCAGCCCUGCCAGCUUUACUUCACAGUACCUUUCUGCUACUUUCCAAACCUCACUGGAGUUCUCUUGCAUGCCUAGCUGUAGUAGUGCUGGAAGAAAGGGUGUUGUGGAGAAAUUAUUAGCCCCAACCUAAUGAAGUGUUUCUGGAAUGAAUUUUUGCUUGACAGUGAAGGGUGUGCUGUUGAAAGACUUGGUUUAAUCCCAAUAGUAUUAAUUCCACAAGAUACAAGCAUAAGGGAGAAUUUCUAUGAAGUUGGGAAAGUAGAAGGAAAGUAGAAGAGAGGAAAAGUGUAGCCUUAAGGGUGUGUUGUGAGUUGUCUGGGUAACUCAGCUGAUAGCAUUUCUCCACAAAAGGCAAAGGUUUCAGGUUAGACACAGUCCAGCUCGCAUCUUUCAUUUGCCAAGAAGUUUAAACACAGUGCACACUCUGCCAUACUACAUAAAAUUUCAUUCACCUAACUAGUAUUCUAAUGUGUGAAUGCUGCUAGUAAUGCAAUGAGCAUGUGAGCACUUGGACUGCCCUGCAGCAAUGUGCUUUGUGUGUGCUCUCCCCAUAACAAAUCUUGAGGCAGCAAUAAAAGUUAUCAGAAUCGGGUUAUCCCUGUCAGAAUUAGUCAGGCCAUCCCACCAAAAAUAAAUGUCUUUAGUGGAGGUGAAACUUGUGCUAUUUACAACUAGACAGUAUAUCAACUGCACAUUAAUCUCUCUAAAUUGUACAAAAAAUGCUGCUGCAUUGCUAUUACUGAAAAAAAAAUUAAUGACUAACCUGCCUGUAAUAGAUGCCUGCUUCUACAGUGUAAUGCACAAAAGCAUGCCAGCUUAUUAGACACACAGGAGCCACACCUGGAUCAGAUCCAUGCUGCAGGCCGACUGGGCUGGUAAACUAGCUAGCCUGCUCGUUUCGGCAAGUGCUGGGCAGCUCCUUGAAUUCCACCUUGGAGUCUCUCUCUCUCUCUCUCUCUCUCUCUCUCUCUCUCUCUCUCUCUCUCUCUCUCUCACACACUCACACACACACACACACACACACACACACACACACACACACACACACACACACACACACACACUGGCACAGAGUUUACAGGAUGCAAUGACUGCCUUAGAUUUGCUUCAUGACUGGUGUCAGGAAGAGCUUUGAGUUUAGAGUUCAAAUAAUAAAAUAAAAUUUGCCAGAUAUAUGAAAGCACACACUCUAGCUGAAAGCUCAAUUUCCUUUUACUGAUGAAAGAACUAAUCAACAUGUAAAGCUGAUAAUUCAAACUUUUGGGGGUGUCAAAAAAAAACUUUCACUAAACGAACUUAAAAUAGCCUGAAGAAGGUGGAAGAUGCUAUAAUGUCGACAUGGACCUUCUUAACAGAUUAAAUUUAUAAUCUAAUUUUCAUUAUUUGGUCAAUUACCACCUUUUGGUCCAAGUAAAUACCUUGUCUAAAUCAUUUUAGAAUUGUUUUUAUCUUCUGGUGACUUAUAGGUGGUGAAUCACAGCAUCAUCUGCAAAUAAAGAUGCCUGCUCUGAUUGUUACCUAAAUUGUUCAUAUAGAUCAGGAACAGCAAAGAGCCUAAAAAGUUACAGUAGUGCAGAUAUUGUUACUUACUGUAAGUUACUAUGAACUGUGACCUUCCUGACAGGAAGUUGCCAGUCAAGUCACAAAACUUAGAUGAUAACGUAGAGGCAUAAAAUUUGAAUGAUGGCUGUAAUUCCAAACCUUUCUGUAAAUAGAGAAUCAAUUUGAGUUCCCCUCUUCAUAGCCUCCAUCACUUUGAAUGAAAAAGAACUAGUUGCAUUUCACAUUUUCAGAGUCUGUGCUGUGUGUGAAUAGAUAAUUUUCCUGGAGGUAAUUCAUAAUGCUCAGACACAGUAUAUGUUCCAUAACCUACUGCAAUUAAAUGUGAUGUCUGUAAUGUAGGAGAUCAAUCUUAUUCCCUUGCUUCAAUAUUGAUGUGACCUCUGCAGCUUUCCAGUCUUAAGGUACAGAUCUCCUGUUCAGUGAGUUGUUGUGUAUGUUGGCUAACUGUGGAACUAUUAUACUAGCAUAUUCUAAAAGGGACCUAAUUGCUAUACAACCCGGACUGGAAGAAUUACCUUUAUUAAUUGAUUUAAGUUGCUUCAAUACAUUGAGGACAUCUACUUUGAAGUUAUUCAUGUUGGCAGCUGUUACUGAGUCAUUGUCCAAUAUUUACUUACGUCAAUGUUAGAUGCUGUAAGGUCUCUAAUAUUAAAGUAAAUCAACCUGAGAUGCAUGUAAAUACUUCUUUAUCCUUCUGUAUAUGUCUUUGUCAAAGUUGUAUGACUUUGUGUAUGUAUUAAAGUGUAACAUAUGUAACAUGUUUGUGGUUAGGGAAUGUAGUGUUUUAUGUGACAGAAAACAUGAAGUCCUUCCAUAACAGAAUGGUUUAAGUGGGAGUGUAAAAGGUGAAUUUGUGAGUGUUAAUGUGCCAAGAGUUUCUGUGGUUAGGCUUCAAAGAGUAAACAUACAGUGCUCGGUGAGAUAAGGAUCUGUGGAAAAGUGGAUUAAGUAAGACUACAAAGUGAACUAUAAUCUGCCACAGUACAAUGACAUUUGACUUGCUCUGAAAUUUGCAUUUCUGAUUCCAAGAACUAGUCAGAGCACAUUACAUUAAGAGCCAUGAUUUCAUUGUACAGCAGUGUCAUAGCCACAGAUUAUUGCCUUUAUAUCUGCCUUCAGGCAAAGUAAUGUUUUAAGUUUGUAUAUGCUUGCAUGAACCAUGUUUUGCUGAAAUUUUCACAUUAUAAAUGCUUAAUUUCAA
Molecule: long non-coding RNA, 4795 nt
Organism: Schistocerca gregaria
Lineage: Eukaryota; Metazoa; Arthropoda; Insecta; Orthoptera; Acrididae
Exons: 3
Source: RefSeq, a predicted model, not a curated record